GGAGUUUAUAGCCGCGGGUAAAUGACCUCCAUUCUGGGAACGUCGAGAUCGUGCUUGGGACUUCCGUUUUCUCGGAGCACCGGAGACGUAGUGCCAGAUAAUCCGCAUUCAGGGGAGAAGAAUGCACACGACACUUGCGGACCAUCCAUGGACAAACAACCUAUGUGUGUUAUCAUCCCCGAAGGGCGGCGAUCAGACUCUAUGUUGGGGACCCUCUCGAUUGAUCUUCAUAUUCUACACACCCAUGUGGUAGAUAAAUAAAAAAAAGGUGAACAUGGAUACACGACCAAGGUGAUAGAAGGUUAUGGUUUUGUCCAGGAGUCUCCGGCAGAUAGAAUUGAUUUGGCCUUUAAUGAGGCAAUCC
This 364-nucleotide long non-coding RNA is filed under the name Hordeum vulgare. RNAcentral's name for it is "long non-coding RNA (HVUL_LNC007255)". Lineage: Eukaryota; Viridiplantae; Streptophyta; Magnoliopsida; Poales; Poaceae. The record is from RNAcentral.